CUGCUACUGAAGAAGGAUCUCUCUCUGGAGAUUGCUCUUUGUGGAGUUUCUUGUGAGCCUACAGUAUUGAUGAGAAUCAAUUUUAUUAACACCAGCUGCCACUUAAACUGUCUGAAGACAUCUAAGAAAAGAGCAAUGCAUUUGCUGAUGUGAUGCAGAACUUAAAGAAGACCAAUGUUCACAUGAAUAAACACCUGGAGCUUCCAUAAGCUGCCCAGAGAGAAUAAAUCAUCACUCUUGUGCCUUUUUGGAUAAAGAGAGAGAUGUUCAGAUGCAAACAAAGGCUCUCAAGUGGAUCAUUGUAAAUGAGUAUGGACUUUAAAAGAAGAGAUGCAUGUGGGUGUAAUUGUUUCUCAGAAGCUGAGAGCGUGCUGUAUCUUCAGUUUUAAUGAAGAUUAGGUGUGACAAAGCUAUAUGGAGUAAUGGAAGUACCAGGAAGAAAUUGCUUUUUGAAAAUGAAAAGCUUUUUAAAAAGUCACAAUAGGACUGAGAGAGCCGUGAGUGCAUUUUCUACCCUAACAUUUUGGCAUUACUCUAUGGAGCCUUCUGCUAUCAGCAAGGAAAGAAAAAUUGCAGUUGACAUCUACAACAUGCAUUUGUCUCCAUUAAUGCUUAGUGCAGGGACUGUGUUCACUUGGCUUCAUCUCUACCUGUCAGAUACUUUGCUUUCUAGGAGGAAAGAGAACAGGGAGAAACCAAGCAGAUUUCCUAAUGUGAAUCAGUUUUCUUAUGGAAGCUGUAGCCAAGGGUCGAAUCUGCAUCCCUGGGGAAGAAACCACAACAUUAUGGCCUUGUUCGUCACAUCUUGUUCAAGUCUGCUCUUCUAUCCACUCAUCUGUCUCCUGCACAAAAUUCUUCUGCCUGGCUUUUUAUUUCAGGAGCUAGGGAACAAUUUUCAAAUUUGGUGAAUCUUUCAAGGGUUAAAGAGAACAUGGAAAGCCUGUGGCAUGGAUGUGCUUUGAAAUGGAGAACGUAUCCCCACGUUACUGGUGCAGAAAGUAAAACAUGGCUGAAAGCCACAGAGUAAUUCUAUUAGUUACCAGAAAAAAAUGCUCCUUGGAGGAGACAUAAUGAACCCGUAAAGCUGAAAGGUGGCCCCUUAUAAGUGUUGUUUCACACUCACAGGAACAGUCCUGUGGACUGCUGGCAGUGAGCCUCUUGUCAACACAGUAGGGUGGAGACUCUGCAUUUCCUUCUAACUCAGAGCUGCUUCAUCACAUCCUUAGGGACUAUCCAUGGCUUGAUCGUGCUCAGGAGCUUUGUUCUGUAAUCUGGUCUUUUUUCUUUCACUGAAAUAGGUGUAACUCAAUGCAAAGCUAGGGCAUUACCCCAGCUAGCUUUUAAACACAUUCAUGUGAGAGGUUAUUCAUAUAAUUCUCUUGGCAUGUUAAGUGCACAGACUGUAUGUCUGUUUACUGUAGUUCCCAGGAGCACUUCUCAGCUUCUCUGUUUGGAUACACACUACUACAGAAACCCACCUCAGUAGUGUUGGGGCAAUCAUCCCCACCAUUUGACAGAAACCUGGGCCCAGUCCUUCAAAGGGCGUGAUCUGGUCCCCAUCUGUGGCUGAAAUUGUCCAAUGAAAGGUGAUAGUUUACUUUUUCAGCAGGGUCAGUAACAAUAUCUUUAAAAUAAAAGACAGAAUGAAGUAAAAGAAAUAAGACUCAAGUCUGUCCCAACACUGUUACUAAGUAGGAAGGCAAAAGAGUUGUUAUAGCAACAGAUGGAGGUAUUUUAUAACAAGUGCAAGCACCUGAACCUUGGAGAGCUAAUGUAACUGUUAACUGUGAGAAGGACUAAACGGUACCUUUCAGGCUUUUGUCUGCCUGAUGUGCUUACAUUUCAAGCUGACCAAAGCCCAGUGCUGUAUUACUAUAGUUGUGGUCCCAGCUUUGUUGAGGAGCCAGGCGUCUAUCAGCCCAGCCCAGGACUGCUUUAAUCAGGCCACAUGGUUCUUGGAGUUUUUCACACAUUUGGAUCACACGUGG
Molecule: long non-coding RNA, 1988 nt
Organism: Gallus gallus (chicken)
Lineage: Eukaryota; Metazoa; Chordata; Aves; Galliformes; Phasianidae
Source: Ensembl